GACGAACGCUGGCGGCGUGCCUAAUACAUGCAAGUCGUACGCAUUGAUAAUGGAACUUGUUCCAUUUGACGUGAGUGGCGCACGGGUGCGUAACGCGUAUGUAACCUACCUCAAACAGGGGCAUAACACCGAGAAAUUGGUACUAAUUCCCUAUAAUACUUUGGAAGGCAUCUUCUGGAGUUGAAAGUUCCGGCGGUUUGAGAUGGGCAUGCGUUGUAUUAGCUAGUUGGUGAGGUAACGGCUCACCAAGGCGACGAUACAUAGGGGGACUGAGAGGUUAACCCCCCACAUUGGUACUGAGACACGGACCAA
RNAcentral lists this ribosomal RNA (312 nucleotides) under uncultured bacterium. RNAcentral describes it as "bacterial SSU rRNA". It matches the Rfam family "Bacterial small subunit ribosomal RNA", at positions 28 to 334 of the family's 1533-position model. The record is from RNAcentral.